RNAcentral lists this ribosomal RNA (433 nucleotides) under uncultured bacterium. RNAcentral describes it as "partial 16S ribosomal RNA". It matches the Rfam family "Bacterial small subunit ribosomal RNA", at positions 29 to 507 of the family's 1533-position model. The record is from RNAcentral.
AACGAACGCUGGCGGCAUGCCUAACACACGCAAGUCGAACGAGACCUUCGGGUCUAGUGGCGCACGGGUGCGUAACGCGUGGGAACCUGCCCUUAGGUUCGGAAUAACUCCCCGAAAGGGGUGCUAAUACCGGAUAAUGUCUUCGGACCAAAGAUUUAUCGCCUUUGGAUGGGCCCGCGUUGGAUUAGCUAGUUGGUAGGGUAAAAGCCUACCAAGGCGACGAUCCAUAGCUGGUCUGAGAGGAUGAUCAGCCACACUGGGACUGAGACACGGCCCAGACUCCUACGGGAGGCAGCAGUGGGGAAUAUUGGACAAUGGGCGAAAGCCUGAUCCAGCAAUGCCGCGUGAGUGAUGAAGGCCUUAGGGUUGUAAAGCUCUUUUACCCGGGAUGAUAAUGACAGUACCGGGAGAAUAAGCUCCGGCUAACUCCGUA